This is a long non-coding RNA of Pecten maximus, 3984 nucleotides long. RefSeq lists it as uncharacterized. The transcript has 4 exons. Lineage: Eukaryota; Metazoa; Mollusca; Bivalvia; Pectinida; Pectinidae. The record is from RefSeq and is a predicted model, not a curated record.
CCUGUACAUCUGGCCAAGCCAGGUGUGAAAACUCUCGCCUCGGUGUUCACUGCACGUUGAGGACGCCAUCCCGUCACCGCGUAGCGGUGAGGGUCUUGUAAUCAGGGUGAAGUCAAAAUGCACGUCAAUAUGGUUCGGCUGAAGUUAAUUGUUUUUGCGCUUGUGGGUACAUGCUUAUGUCAAUAUCCAGUUGUGCAUUCAUCUGGCCAAACAAGAACUUCUGUUUCAAAUCAGAUAAAACCGACAACAUAUUCUUCAUAUCAAGCUAAACCAAAUAACUGGCCACAAUAUGGAUCUACUCAAACUUGGAACAAGUACAACAGUGUCAAUGAUAGGAAAACGUGGGGAAAUUCAUAUUCACGUAAUGUGCAAAGUAAUUCAUAUUCACGUAAUGUGCAAAGUAAUUCAUAUUCACGUAAUGUGCAAAGUAAAUCAUAUUCACGUAAUGUGCAAAGUAAUUCGUUGAAAACGAACAAGGGAUAUACAAAAUCGCAGACUAAGUACAAGAAAGAAAAACUGAAGACAAAGCCUUCUCACUAUAGACUUAGGUCUGUCGGCAGAUCGUUGGUUGAACAAUACAUUCAACAGUUUAUGCCCUGGGAGACAUGUAAGGCGCUCAUAGGAAACUUCGUUGAUGACGUGUUCAAUCCGACGUCCAUCUUCGCAACCACAUUCGUCGAUGAAGGGAUUGAUAACCUUUGCGGUAAUACAUUGUUUGCGAUGGUAGAGCCACUAUUCGAGCCCUUUACAGACAAACUUUUCGAAGCAAUACAUCUAGCGAGAGAUCAGGAAUGAGCGGAUUUAUAUUUGAUUGCAAUAGUUAUCGUAUUCAAAUCGACAUCGCCAUUUGGUUUAAUGCUUGAAUGAUUUUGAAUGCCGAUGACUCUUUCGGGAUUCGCAAAAUGCGAUAAGAUUGUUCUGUCCCAAAUUUACUAUGUUGAAUUCACUAAAUAACACGGUAGAAGUUGCCAGAGUAUAAUCAUGAUGUACAUGCACCAUUGUAGGUAAAAUUAAGCAAUGAUGUCAUCCUCCUUGUAACCAACAUAGAAAAAUAAAUAAAUAACAUCAACAUCUUUAGGUUAUUUUUGAGCGAUUCUCAAAUAUUUUGUCAUUGUGUCAUGUAUAACUGAAAUCAAUUGUAUUUACGUGACGAGAAGUUCUCUAGUGUAUGAGACAUUCCAAAUCAUUAACGAUAAUUAGAGUUUAUAUCGUAUUUUGAUAUUGAUAUUUUGUAAUUGGCCAACAAAGUGUCAUGAUGCAAUCCAAACGAAGCUUUUAGAUAAAUCUUUGUUUAACAUAAUGUUCUGAAUUUUUGAAAAGCUCCAAAUUCAAUUAAAUAAAUAAAUAUUCUACAUCGCCAACACAGAGUAUUCAUGAUUUCUUGAAAACAACAAUUGUCUGUUAUCUAUAUUUUAUCUAUGGUAUUCUAUCUAUCUACAAUACCAAAAGCUACAUACGAUAUUACCACCUUGCUGAAGUUUGAACUUCACUUUUAAUAUAUUUUUUUGAAUUCGAAAUUGAUAAAUAAUUGCAUCUAAACUUUAAUAAAUUUUUACCUCUACAUACUGAUAAGUAAUUUUCAGUCUAAUUAACGACUAUUUAUGGACGCAGUCCUUUUUGUGAUCAGCAGUGCAUACGAUGUCGGCUCUGUAGCAUAUCUUAACUUUAAGCAAAAUCUUAAUAAGCACAUAUAUUUAUUCUGAGCAUUUCACUAGUAACAUUCAGAGUAAUUGCGUUUUGCUAAUUUUGUCAGUAGUGUGAGUUCAUUUCUUAUGUAUUGUUUGAAAACGUUUAUACUCCUUUUACCCUUCUGUUUGCAUAUAUCUGUAUCAUGGAAUAAGCACUAAUGGCUACAAUAUGUAAAUUAUGUAAUUUGCUCUCAACAACUAUUGUGUCUGUAUAGGAUAAUAUGAUGUGUUUUAUUGUGAAUACUGUAUGGUUGGUAAUAUUUGAGGGUAUUCAAUUAUCUCUAUAUUGGCGUCGAUAAUAUACUCCACGAAAAUACACAAAUAUGUAGAAUUGUUUACUGCAAUACGUUUACAAGACGUGGUUGUGCGAAAUUUAAUAUCCGCAAACUAGGUCCGACUCGGCCAAUCGCAAAAUUUUGAUUUAGUUGGUUUCUUUACAGACAAAAGGGGAAUAACUAUGUCUGAAACAUAUGUAACAGCUAAAAUUUGAAUAGAAUAUGUGUCGACAAUAUGAUGUUUUGAAAAUGUUAUUAUUUUUUUUGUGUAGAAAUACACAAAGCUUACUAUUUUGAAUUAUGCUUGCCAGUAUUAAAGUUUACCAAUACUUUUCUUAACAAUAGAGAUACUGUAAUACGUACAUGUAUGUAAAAAUCAAAGGAUACCUGAGAAUAUUUCCCAUAUGUUAAGAUCGUAUCACCUAUAGGAUUCAAAUGUAGAAAAAAUGGUUGAAACUGAAAUGCUUAAAUAUAAAAUAUAUAAAGGCCUGUAUAUAAUUGAUUAGAACAAAAUCAAUUCUUUUUUAUCCCUUUACAACUCUUUAAGAAAAACCAUUUCUAUAGGCAUAUUGGUUAUUUGUAUUUUGGUUAUUUGUAUACGAAUGUGUUUGAUUUAAACGCUUUAAUGGAAUUAAACAUGAUUCAGCUAAAAAAAGUUGUGUACAUCAAAGAAACACUAAUCUUUUUAUCUAUUUAUUCAACUGUACAUCUAGAAAUGGUAUUAGAUACAGCUUUAAGAUACCAACUCAGGGUAAAAGCUCACUAGAUUGGUGAUACUAGAGUUAUUAUGUGAAAAAAAUAAUGAAAUGAUGGACAUGUCGCCUCGAAAAUGUAGCGUAAACAAGUGACACUUUAGUCUAAAUGAUUUUAUAUUUAUAUCUCGUUAUUUUCAGCAUUGCUUGAUCAACUUGAGUGUACCUAUAUUAAUCACUCAUCCUAGACAACAAUAAUUGAAUAAUCGAAUAAACAAGAAAAACAAAUGAUACAUUAGUAAAAUCAUCGAUAUUCGUGAACAUCAGAAAUGUCUCCACUGAAAUUUUGUUUUGCUUAAGAUUAUAAUGGGAAUAUUGUGUGAAAUUUAUUAUAUUCGUCAAAAGAAAUAUUACCGACAUUUAUUGAAAGAAUUGAGAUAAUUUUACAUGGAACUUAAAAAGCAAAAUGCAUUCCAAACUAACAGCAAGAAUUAACAAUAGUUUAUAAUAUUUAUGCGUCAAUGGUAAAAAAUUAAGCAUGUUAGGACAAUUAUUUAAUAACGAUGGCGUCUGGGUCAGUUAAGAGAUUAAUGAUAGAUAUAAAUAAAAAUAUACACCAAGAACACCUUUUUCCAUUUUAGAGUAUUACAUGUAACUACAUCGUAUUUUAAGUAGGGUAUUGAUUUACAUGACGUAAUAUGUCUGAUAUUUUAUAUGUACGACUAUAUUCAGAGAAAUCACGGGAUGAAUAUUUGGCUUAUUAUUUUAUAGGCAGGAUAUGCCAGGACAUAGGCUUCGUAUGCGUCAGUUCAACACUGUUUGAAAAACGUUUGAUCAUGAGCGUUGAAAAUUAAACAAUUUGCUUAAAAUAUGUGAACAUACCCAUGUUAUAACUGUAUUGAAACCUUCUAUUAGAGUAAACCUGUACAUAACUUACAUAUAUGAUGUCAUUCAUAUAGUUUUUAUGUAGAGUUUAUGCUAAGAAAUAAAAAACAUAUAUACAGAAAAGAAUCAUUAUACCAAGUUAAUCGGGCAAUGAGAACAGAAAGUUAAUAUGAAAACAUUACAAUAUCAAUAGGCAUGAUAUAUCCUUUUCAAAAUUGAGCUCAAUUUAACAAUUUUUUUCGGAUUAGGCUAUGACGAUCUUCAAUAUAUCUUCAUAAGAUUUAAUUAAGAAAACAACUUGGAUGAAUAUUUUAAAUUGAUUAUUAAGAUGAAUACGUCAGCUUAACCCACAAUGUUUCCUGAAUGUGAUGUGUAAUCGAAAUAAAAUAGCAUGUGACUGUGAUUCGUGUGUAUUUCUUUGUUAAUAAAUGUUUUAUUAAUCAA